Molecule: ribosomal RNA, 429 nt
Filed under: Chloroflexota bacterium
Lineage: Bacteria; Bacillati; Chloroflexota
Description: Chloroflexi bacterium partial 16S ribosomal RNA
Rfam family: Bacterial small subunit ribosomal RNA
Source: RNAcentral
UGGGGAAUCUUCGGCAAUGGACGAAAGUCUGACCGAGCAACGCCGCGUGAGUGAAGAAGGUUUUCGGAUCGUAAAACUCUGUUGUUAGAGAAGAACAAGGACGUUAGUAACUGAACGUCCCCUGACGGUAUCUAACCAGAAAGCCACGGCUAACUACGUGCCAGCAGCCGCGGUAAUACGUAGGUGGCAAGCGUUGUCCGGAUUUAUUGGGCGUAAAGCGGGCGCAGGCGGUUUCUUAAGUCUGAUGUGAAAGCCCCCGGCUCAACCGGGGGAGGGCAUUGGAAACGGGGAGGCUUGGGUGCAGAAGAGGGGGGUGGAAUUCCAUGGGUAAGGGUGAAAUGCGUAGAUAUAUGGAGGAACACCAGUGGGGAAGGGGGGUCUCUGGGCUGUAACUGACGCUGAGGCUCGAAAGGGUGGGGAGCAAAAAGG